This 1574-nucleotide long non-coding RNA is filed under the name Salmo salar (Atlantic salmon). Its description in RNAcentral is "lncRNA (ENSSSAG00000085347.1)". Lineage: Eukaryota; Metazoa; Chordata; Actinopteri; Salmoniformes; Salmonidae. The record is from RNAcentral.
GCAUUAUCUGAUGAUGGAACAGUGCGUCUAUGAUGGGAAUAGGAGCAGGCAGUAGUCUAUAGGUUUGGUGUGGGAGUGAGAGCCUGGGAAGUUGAAGGUUAGCAUGCAGGAAGGACACUCCAAUCCACAGUAACUGCAGCAGUCUUCACUUUCUUCCUGUUCCUGAUCCCCUAGCCCAUGUGAUCUGCUGGGGGCGGGGCCUCUUCUCCCAGCCCUCCACUCACAGGAGGAGGAUUCAGAAGGAGGAGGAGCCUGCUGCAAGGGAAAGGGCCCCUGUGAGUCAGUGCAGGAGUCCUCAUACACCUACCUGCAGGACGGGUUUGCCCACUCUGUCUGUCACUGACCAGCAUGGAGGAGAUGCAGUCAUCCAUCCAUCCCUGUAAACUGGGUGGCUCACCUUACUAAACCACUACUGUCAGCACUCAGGAGGAACUUAAACCUAUGAAGGUAUGUGUCCUCUGUGGGGGUCACAGGGGCCAUUCUGGCCACUGUUGCGUUUUCUCAGCUGUCUGGAUCAGUGGGUUCAAGUUAUUCAUGCCUACCAGACCCACCACCAGCCUCCGGCCUAGUUCUUCAUCCUUCGUUGAUCAGGUUGAAUUUGAAGACACAAGUCAUGUUCUUGCUUCAUGUACGUAUAUACUGUAAGUGGUAGCUACAAUCAUCAAACUAAGACAGGACUGUGUCUUCAAAUUAUUUUGAUUACGUCACUGAUUAGGAAGUAGACACUGCUUUUGAUGGAAUGGAACAUAGUGUUUCUCUCAUACUAUACCCCUACCUUUACCCCUACCCCCACCCCUACCUCUACCUCUACCCUUACAUCUACCUCUAACUCUACACAUACCUCUGCCCAUACCUCUAUCCCUACCUCUAUCCCUACCUCUAUUUAUACCUCUAUUUAUACCUCUAACCCUACCUCUAUUUAUAUCUCUAAUCCUACCUCUAACCCUACCUCUAUUUAUACCUCUAAUCAUACCUCUAUCCCUACAUAUAUUUAUACCUCUACCUACCCCUACCUCUACCCCCACCUCAAACCCUACUUCUACCUCUACCCUAUCUCUACCCCUACAAUCACGCCUACCCCUACCCUUACAUCUAACUCUACCCAUGCCUCUGCCCCUACCUCUAACCCUACCUCUAUUUAUACCUCUACUCCUACAUCUAACCCUGCACAUACCUCUACCUCUACCCCUACCUCUACCUCUACCUCUACCCCUACCUUCAGCCCUACCUAUACCCUCACCUCUACCCCUACAUCUACUUCUACCUCUACUCCUUCCCUACCUCUACCCCACCUCCAUUUAUACCUUUACCCCUACCUCUACCCCUAACUCUACCUUGAUCUCUACCUCUACCCCUUCCUCCAUUUAUACCUUUACCCCUACACCUAUCGCUACCUCUACCCCACUGCUAUAUCUACAUCUAUGUAUACCUCUCCCCCUACCUCUACCCCUACUUCCAUUUAUACCUUUACCUUUUUCCCCUACACCUAUCUCUACCUCUACCCCACUGCUAUCCCUACCUCUAUGUAUACUCCUACCCCUACCUCUACUCCUACCUCUACCCGUAACCCUACC